Molecule: small RNA, 79 nt
Filed under: Flavobacterium sinopsychrotolerans
Lineage: Bacteria; Pseudomonadati; Bacteroidota; Flavobacteriia; Flavobacteriales; Flavobacteriaceae
Description: Flavo-1 RNA
Rfam family: Flavo-1 RNA
Source: RNAcentral
UUUUAGCCCUGAUCGAAGCGGUAUCCUUUUGUGCCGUUUUUUUUCGGCAUAAAAGAUAUAGUGUAGAGCAGGAAAUAGC